CAUAAGUAUGAACUGCUCAGCGUAACUGCUCUGUAAAUGUUUUAUUGAUCUAAUGGGGGAAAGUGCAUGCAUGAUGGACAGAGCAGGUUAUAACUAACCCUCAGUACUGAUACUAUAACAUUCCUGGCCCUCUGCUGAUAAAGAAUGUCAACAAAGUCUGCUGAGUGUUUUACAGGCAUACCAUACUGUAUAAGUGCAUCAGAGUGACAGUACAGAGUCCGGGCUACAAUGUUACAGUUGCUGGGAAGGCGCACAGAGAGAUCAACUUUAACAUUAAAGAAGUUCAUACAAAAGUCUGAUAACAGAGGAGAAGAAGCUGUCCUUGAAUCUUGCCCCCCAGGGUGACAAAUAGUUUGCCUAUCCAUCUGCACUAUAAACCAAUGCACUGAGGCUGGCAGCCGAGAAGUCGGUGCUGAAGUCAGUGAGAGUACCAAGGAAAGCAAUGUGAAGUACACAGAGACUGGCAACCUCCAAGUGAAUGGCAAAGUGAGUGAGCAGUAGGCUAACAAGGUAAGAGCUG
Long non-coding RNA from Rhincodon typus (whale shark), 520 nucleotides. RefSeq lists it as uncharacterized. The transcript is spliced from 3 exons. NCBI's taxonomy places the organism in Eukaryota, Metazoa, Chordata, Chondrichthyes, Orectolobiformes, Rhincodontidae. The record is from RefSeq and is a predicted model, not a curated record.